Molecule: ribosomal RNA, 433 nt
Filed under: uncultured bacterium
Lineage: Bacteria
Description: partial 16S ribosomal RNA
Rfam family: Bacterial small subunit ribosomal RNA
Source: RNAcentral
AACGAACGCUGGCGGCAUGCCUAAUACAUGCAAGUCGAACGAGAUCUUCGGAUCUAGUGGCGCACGGGUGCGUAACGCGUGGGAAUCUGCCCUUGGGUUCGGAAUAACUUCUGGAAAGGGAAGCUAAUACCGGAUGAUGACGUAAGUCCAAAGAUUUAUCGCCCAAGGAUGAGCCCGCGUAGGAUUAGCUAGUUGGUAGGGUAAAGGCCCACCAAGGCGACGAUCCUUAGCUGGUCUGAGAGGAUGAUCAGCCACACUGGGACUGAGACACGGCCCAGACUCCUACGGGAGGCAGCAGUAGGGAAUAUUGGACAAUGGGGGAAACCCUGAUCCAGCAAUGCCGCGUGAGUGAUGAAGGCCUUAGGGUUGUAAAGCUCUUUUACCCGGGAUGAUAAUGACAGUACCGGGAGAAUAAGCUCCGGCUAACUCCGUG